CCUCGUAAUUUACAUGGUACAAACUGAAACCAGUGCGCGCUCACAUCCGGACACCCUACAGAUCGAACGGUGUGGCACCGACGCCUCACUUGCCGGGCACGAAGUUGGUGGCGUAGGCCCAGGCGUUGUUGUUGACGGGGUCCGCGAGGUGGUCGGCGAGGUUCUCGAGCGGGCCCUUGCCGGUGACGAUGGCCUGGACGAAGAAGCCGAACAUGGAGAACAUGGCGAGGCGGCCGUUCUUGAGCUCCUUGACCUUGAGCUCGGCGAAGGCCUCGGGGUCGUCGGCGAGGCCGAGCGGGUCAAAGCUGCCGCCGGGGUAGAGCGGGUCGACGACCUCGCCGAGCGGGCCGCCGGCAAUGCGGUAGCCCUCGACGGCGCCCAUGAGCACGACCUGGCAGGCCCAGAUGGCGAGGAUGCUCUGCGCGUGGAUCAGGCUCGGGUUGCCGAGGUAGUCAAGGCCACCCUCGCUGAAGAUCUGGGAACCCGCCUUGAACCAGACGGCCUCGCCGAACUUGACGCCGUUGCGGGCGAGCAGCUCGGGGAAGACACAGCCGAGCGCGCCGAGCAUGGCCCAGCGGGAGUGGAUGACCUCCAGCUCGCGGUUCUUGGCGAAGGUCUCGGGGUCGGCCGAGAGCCCGGCGGUGUCCCAGCCGUAGUCGCCGGGGAACUCGCCGGUUAGGUAGCUCGGGGGCUCGCCGGAGAGCGGGCCGAGGUAGAGCACGCGGUCGGGGCCGUACCAUGGGCUGCCGGAGGCGGCCGGCUUGGGCUUCGCCGCGGUCUUGCGCAUGGUCACGCGGGCCUCGCCGAAGAGGGACGAUGGCACGUUGACAGCCUUGCCGACGAAGGCCGUGGAGGAGAGGGCCAUGGUGCUGGUCGCCAUUGCGCUGCUAUCACCG
Molecule: long non-coding RNA, 896 nt
Filed under: Setaria italica (foxtail millet)
Lineage: Eukaryota; Viridiplantae; Streptophyta; Magnoliopsida; Poales; Poaceae
Description: long non-coding RNA (SITA_LNC001955)
Source: RNAcentral